RNAcentral lists this transfer RNA (72 nucleotides) under Myotis davidii. It matches the Rfam family "tRNA". From Rfam's summary of the family: Transfer RNA (tRNA) molecules are approximately 80 nucleotides in length. Their secondary structure includes four short double-helical elements and three loops (D, anti-codon, and T loops). Further hydrogen bonds mediate the characteristic L-shaped molecular structure. tRNAs have two regions of fundamental functional importance: the anti-codon, which is responsible for specific mRNA codon recognition, and the 3' end, to which the tRNAs corresponding amino acid is attached (by aminoacyl-tRNA synthetases). tRNAs cope with the degeneracy of the genetic code in two manners: having more than one tRNA (with a specific anti-codon) for a particular amino acid; and 'wobble' base-pairing, i.e. permitting non-standard base-pairing at the 3rd anti-codon position. Lineage: Eukaryota; Metazoa; Chordata; Mammalia; Chiroptera; Vespertilionidae. The record is from Rfam by way of RNAcentral.
GCCGUUUUGGCUCAGUGGAUAGAGCAUCGGCCUAUGAACCAGGAGGUCAGGGUUCGAUUCCCGGUCAGGGCA